This is a long non-coding RNA of Acanthochromis polyacanthus (spiny chromis), 1435 nucleotides long. RefSeq lists it as uncharacterized. The record is from RefSeq and is a predicted model, not a curated record. The transcript has 4 exons. Lineage: Eukaryota; Metazoa; Chordata; Actinopteri; Pomacentridae.
CCACGUGUGUAGAUAUAUCUAAACUAAAUUCUAACUAAAUGUAUACUCUCCCUAACGUCUCUCAAAAGAAGGGAUCGAAACACCGUCUCGGAACACUUUCGCUUCAAACGCUCGGCACUGUGUCGAGCAAACUGGCUCGACUGUAACAUCACUAUUUUUCCCCUUCCAUCUUUAUGUGAUGUGCGGUGCAUUUAGUGACAGCCUGCUUUACUUUGUUUAGUGACGCUGGGAGACGGGUCGCUCCGUUCAGCGUGCCGUGGGUGCUUCUGUGACGACAGGGUAAGCUACGUGGUCCGUAUUAUGUGAUCUGAUGUGUUAACUCAUGUGUUGUUGUGUGGUUGCUGCAGUCUAUUUGCUGCUGUUUUCGUUGGAUCUCCUCCGCCUGCAUUGCUGCUAUGCUGCGCCACGGCUAACCGGGUUUGAUGAGCCUCGGCGGCAGUUUAAUCCCUGGUGGUGGUUCACGGAUCCCCUUUUUCCUUGGUGUGUUGUGUCACAGCGGAAUUAAGUGGAAGAAUUCUUGGAGCCCCUGUCUUGCCUCCGGAGUUCAGCAACUGAGGCAAGUGUUGAUGGAUCACACUGCCCUGGAGGAGGAGGAGGAGGAGGAGGAAGAGGAGGAGGAGGAAGAGGAAAAGGAGGACCUCGUUCACAAUGACGACCACGCCUGAAACCUGCUGUUCAUGAAUUUUGUUAUUUUGCAAUAAAGCACACUGUUCAAAAUCCUGUUUUUAUUUUCUUUGUUACUGAUUUUGUGUUGAAAGAAAGUAUUGCUGCUGAUAAAGUAUAAAGUCUAACAUUUACCAAAUAAUUCCUUCAGAAUGAUGAAGGUUUCUGUACCAGAAGACUGUUUAUGGGAUGUUUUGGAGGAUAUAUUCAAUGUAUUGACAAGGAGAAUUCACUACACAUCUUCAGAAACAUCUGCAAACUGCAUCUAAAACGUAUUACAAAAAGCGUUUUGAAAAGGUUGAAGUGGGGCUGUGGGCCGGUGGGGCGCCGUGGGGGUCCGCUAUGGCCCGUUCUGCUGCGCGGGCCUUGGGGCUCUGGCUGUGUCGGGGGGGGGGGGUCGCUCCGGGCUCCUGGGCUGGGUCUCCGCUUGGUGGCUCCUGCGGGGGGGCUGGGUGGACCUCCUUGGGCUGGAGGGGACAGCUCCUUCCUUUUGGUGGAGGUUUUCAUGCAUGCCAGACCCACCACACCGGCACCUACCAAAACUCAAUAGAGUGUGUUCCUCCGGUUGCUGAGUCAAUGGAGGUUGCUGGGUUAGUGUCUGUGGAUCUCACUCUGCUUUAUCUAUCUUUCUUGUGGCCUCCAGACAUCUUCAUGAUUGAUCCAGUUAGGAUUUUGUUGUAUUAGGUGUUUGUGAAGGGUUUUAGAUUUGUAAAUGGUCUUAAGGUGUGAAUUAAAGAGUACAAACAAAUAAAAUGCACCUUUUCUCUCAGAA